GAUGAACGCUGGCGGCGUGCCUAAUACAUGCAAGUAGAACGCUGAAGGAAGGAGCUUGCUCUUUCCGGAUGAGUUGCGAACGGGUGAGUAACGCGUAGGUAACCUGCCUGGUAGCGGGGGAUAACUAUUGGAAACGAUAGCUAAUACCGCAUAACCGUAGGUGUUGCAUGAUAUCUACUUAAAAGGUGCAAUUGCACCACUACCAGAUGGACCUGCGUUGUAUUAGCUAGUUGGUGAGGUAACGGCGCACCAAGGCGACGAUACAUAGCCGACCUGAGAGGGUGAGCAGCCACACUGGGACUGUGACACGGCCCAGAGUCCUACGGGAGGCAGCAGGAGGGAAUCUUCGGGAAUGGACGGAAGUCUGACCGAGCAACGCCGCGUGAGUGAAGAAGGUUGUCGGAUCGUAAAGCUCUGUUGUAAGAGAAGAACGAGUGUGAGAGUGGAAAGUUCACACUGUGACGGUAUCUUACCAGAAAGGGACGGCUAACUACGUG
This 497-nucleotide ribosomal RNA is filed under the name uncultured bacterium. Its description in RNAcentral is "partial 16S ribosomal RNA". It matches the Rfam family "Bacterial small subunit ribosomal RNA", at positions 28 to 507 of the family's 1533-position model. The record is from RNAcentral.